GCGGGGGACCGAGAGGGCCUCGGCUGUGUGAGGACAGGAGGCGGCCGAGGCCCGGGCCGGUUCCCCCGA
Molecule: microRNA precursor, 69 nt
Organism: Bos grunniens (domestic yak)
Lineage: Eukaryota; Metazoa; Chordata; Mammalia; Artiodactyla; Bovidae
Source: Ensembl